UAUAUAUAGUCCGGCUACUAUGCUAUCGGUAGCACGGAGCGCUCCGUGCUACCAAGUUGUUUUCGAUGAUGCGGCUUCCAAAUCGACGAUCGGCUCCGUUAGACUUGAUCUACAUUAUUGAAAGUAUUUGGAAACUAAAUUUCAGAUUUUUUCGACAUCAUUUGACUAGUGAUCAAAAGAUCUCAAAAUUGAUAAUUUUAAUGGCCGAUGUGGUGUGUUUGUGAGUUUAACGGUGUAAAAAAAUCCAAAUGCGAUGAAAAUUUUAUAGAAAAUUCUUUUCACUAUUUAGAGUAAGAUCAGUAUAUCUGAUCUUAAAUUUAAAUCUUUUAUCAUCAUUUUUCAUGAGAUUUUUAUUUUCAGCCGUUCAAUUUUAGACUACUUGUUUGAUAGGUAAAUGAUAUCGAAAAAUUAUGAAAUUUAGUUUUUAAAUACUUUCAAUAGUGUAGAUCAAGUCUAAUGGAGCCGAUCGUCGAUUUGAAAGCCG
This 484-nucleotide long non-coding RNA is filed under the name Ananas comosus (pineapple). RNAcentral describes it as "long non-coding RNA (ACOM_LNC036147)". Lineage: Eukaryota; Viridiplantae; Streptophyta; Magnoliopsida; Poales; Bromeliaceae. The record is from RNAcentral.